CCAGUCUGCUGGGAACUGGCCUCGCGGGGACAGCUGCUCUGCACGGGAACAAGAGGGAAUUUCCAGGGUUCCUGCAGGGGACAGAGGCAGGCUCUGCUCUGCUGGUUGGCACCUCACCCUCUGUGCCCACAGGGAGCUGGGCUCCUGCCUGUCCCUUUCCAGGCCACCCCUCCCACCUAUGCUUGCUGAUAUCCAGGGUGUUUGUCCCCAGACCGGUUUGCACCUGUCCCGUCUCUCCAUUGUGCCCCUGACUAUAAUUAACUGUUACAUAAGCUGCUGAAACUCGAGAACAAAUAGAAAAAGUGCGGUGGUUUCUGUGAAAAUAAACUUGAACCCCACAGGCCAGAUGCUUCAAAGGCGGCUGCAGGUCGACAGGUCUUCUGAAGGCACGGAGGGCUCUAUCUCCACUUUAGAGAGUCAAGCCCAGAGGGCGACGGCACUGUCCCGUGGGGUGGGGUAGGCAAGAGGUGUCGUCCAGUCUUAGGUCUCUGCCAGGCUCCCAGGAGAGGUCUGAGGUCCCCACCAAUAGAAUCAUGAGAAUCUGUCACCUACGCGAGUUAAAGCCAACGGUUCAAGGCAUCACGGACCCCCAGCACCGCGCUCCCAUUCAACCUAGCGCCUUCUGUAACUGGCACCUGCUGGUCCCCCCACCCCCCGCAGUGAGACCAAAGAACUCUGCUUCAUGACAGCCUCCAGCGUGGGGGACAGAGGGAGUAGACCCAGGUCAGAAGGAAGAGGGACACUGAGGGAGGCGCCAGACUCCAGGCCGAUGGCUUUCUGCCCCCCUGGACCCAGGCACCAGCCCUGUGCAUGAGGCAGGGCUGGGGUAACAGCCCCCCUCCCCAGAUGUUGCAAGUGAGGCCCCUAUGGGCAGCGUAGAUCUGCAAAUGACACCUGAGUCUCUGGGGGCUCGUCUCCUUUGCCACGGAGGGGGCUGGGCAGGCCUGUGUUAAGAAAUGCCACCAGUGGAAAAUUCACGUCACUUGCCAGAAAUAAAAAGUAACCAUAAGGUAAGCCCCACGAGGCCAAUAAUGUAAUUAAAUCCCAGGCCGACGACACUGUCCCACUGUCAAUUGGAGGCCGGACUCAGCCUACACCUCUUCUCCCC
RNAcentral lists this long non-coding RNA (1108 nucleotides) under Marmota monax (woodchuck). The record is from RNAcentral. Lineage: Eukaryota; Metazoa; Chordata; Mammalia; Rodentia; Sciuridae.